GUGAAAUUGAACUCGCUGUGAAGAUGCAGUGUACCCGCGGCAAGACGGAAAGACCCCGUGAACCUUUACUAUAGCUUGACACUGAACAUUGAGCCUUGAUGUGUAGGAUAGGUGGGAGGCUUUGAAGUGUGGACGCCAGUCUGCAUGGAGCCGACCUUGAAAUACCACCCUUUAAUGUUUGAUGUUCUAACGUGGACCCGUU
RNAcentral lists this ribosomal RNA (202 nucleotides) under Salmonella enterica subsp. enterica serovar Weltevreden. RNAcentral's name for it is "partial 23S ribosomal RNA". It matches the Rfam family "Bacterial large subunit ribosomal RNA", at positions 2036 to 2237 of the family's 2925-position model. The record is from RNAcentral. Lineage: Bacteria; Pseudomonadati; Pseudomonadota; Gammaproteobacteria; Enterobacterales; Enterobacteriaceae.